Long non-coding RNA from Suncus etruscus (white-toothed pygmy shrew), 198 nucleotides. RefSeq lists it as uncharacterized. The record is from RefSeq and is a predicted model, not a curated record. NCBI's taxonomy places the organism in Eukaryota, Metazoa, Chordata, Mammalia, Eulipotyphla, Soricidae. The transcript is spliced from 3 exons.
GGCGUGGCGGGGUUAAGCCGAGGGCGGCGGGCGGCCGCGCCGUGGCGCGCGCACGUGUGCAUAGUUCCUGGUCAACAUAGACAUGUGGAGGAUAUUGGCUGAGUCCUCAUGCAGACAAGAUCGUUAUAGUCUCGGUUAAAAAAAGUAACAAAAUAAUUGAAGAAAACAAAGGAGAAAGUCCAAAAGGAAAAGAAAAAA